This 624-nucleotide ribosomal RNA is filed under the name Triticum aestivum (bread wheat). RNAcentral describes it as "partial small subunit ribosomal RNA". Lineage: Eukaryota; Viridiplantae; Streptophyta; Magnoliopsida; Poales; Poaceae. The record is from RNAcentral.
AUGAGAUUUCUUUCUACGGAUAUGAAGGAUAGAAAUAUGCUAUUUGUUGCUAUUACAAUGAAUCAACCAAUUCGUAGUAAGUGUUCCCGUCUUCCCGAUCUACAUGAUUUAUUCCCAACCAAUAUCUCUCAGAACUUUGAUAUAACGCCAAACUUGGAUAUAACGCCAAUGCCUGAGCGAAUUGCCGGCGUCACAAUAGUUUUCCAAAUAGAAAGGUAUUUGGGCCAAAAUGAGUCCGAACAGGGAGCAGUCAAUUUAGCUAGAACAGUAUUGGGAGCCCGCCACCGAAAUGGCGAAACUUGGCAGGGCAUAUUAGAGGAAAUUUGGGCGGGUGGUGGUAUGGAUAAUUUUAUCCAGAAUUUUCCUGGUGCCUACCAUAAUACCCCAUUGGAUCAAUUUGCCAUUUACCCAAUAAUUGAUCUUCAUGUGGGCAACUUUUAUUUGACAUUUACAAAUGCAUUCUUGUAUAUGCUGCUCACUGUCGUUUUGGUCGUUUUUCUAUUUUUUGUUGUUACGAAAAAGGGAGGUGGAAAGUCAGUGCCAAAUGCAUGGCAAUCCUUGGUCGAGCUUAUUUAUGAUUUCGUGCUGAACCUGGUAAACGAACAAAUAUGUUGUCUUUCCUGA